Molecule: long non-coding RNA, 1291 nt
Filed under: Callithrix jacchus (white-tufted-ear marmoset)
Lineage: Eukaryota; Metazoa; Chordata; Mammalia; Primates; Cebidae
Description: lncRNA (ENSCJAG00000051949.2)
Source: RNAcentral
UUUUCUUUUAGAGAGCAAAGGUAAGUUAAACCGGCACUUGUACAUGUCGGGGGGACUCUCAAUCUAACCAGUGAAUUGGUCAAUUGGUCUGCAUUUCAAAAACAAAUUUCCAAAGUGCAAGUCAUUUUUCCUAUGGCUAGAAAUCUUUAAAAUUGUCAAAGCAAACCUUUAUGUCCAAAGCAGCUUUGAAGUUUGAAAUUGAAAGCUGGCAGGCUAUGUCACCCUGCAGAAGGGAAUAUUUUAAAUUCCUGGAGAGCAUGUCAGAAUUUCAAAGGAUAAUAAUAAUAGUUGAAAGCCGACUGAUGUCUAGAGCUGAGCAAGCAGCGAGGCUUAAAGGAUCAUAGUCACCAAAACACUCCAGACCCUCUCUGUGUCCUCUUCACGGAAACAGGCAAUUAUGCAGAUGGAAGGCCAGCCUCCUGUCCAACAAAAGAAGUCCUUCUGGAGCAUCCCUGUUGGAGGGCCAGAUAAUCUGCUAGAACAAUUCAGAGUCAGGGCUUUGGAGAGAACAUGCUGCAGAAUACCGGGUCUGGAAAGAGAGACGUUCAGGAAGACUUCCAAGGUAGCAGACCAGAGGCAGCUUUGCCCUUUCAGAAGGUGAAAGCUAUUUGUAGAAUUGGCAUCUGAAGGGAAGGAUAAAAGCAAGCACAUCAUUUCCUCGUGUUGAGGCCAGAAGAAAGAAUUGUAAUUAGAAGUGAUGUAAUCAUUUUGCUCGAAAAUCAUUUCUUCAGUUGUAAGCGUAGAGCGCGGAGAUUCUCCUCUGUACUGGUGAUGCUGUGUGUCUGACCAGCAGAAUAGGCUUCUUUCAGCAAGAAGCUCAGAGGAGGGUCAAGGUCUCAAGUUGUCACAGGGAGGGGAGCCUUUGUGCCUAUGUGGCAGCAGCCACCAGCUCUCUGUCAUUUGGUUUCUCUAGCCCUCAGCACAUCACCACAUACAAUGACUAUGAUAAAAGACUUCCUGGCUGGGCAUGAUAGCUCAUGGCUAUGAUCCCAACACUUUGGAAGGCCAAGGCAGGAGGAUGGCUGAAGGCCAGGAAUCAAGACCAGCCUGGGCAACAGAGUGAGAUGGUGCUGUCUCUACAAGAGAAAACAAAGCCCUGAUUUUGCGGGUGGUUGAUGGCUGAUCUGAUCUUCUCCUUCCAGUGUCAUCAUCUUUUCUGGAAAUGAUCUGAAAUGCAGAGCAGACAUGAGAAGCAACUACAAAACCUGAGGGUGAAGUGAAGGUGAGGGGAGAUUGUUUUGUUUUCGUCUGAAAUAUCCGGAUUUUUGGGUUCCCUCAUGGCUUGACUGAC